GUCCGAGUAAUUCAAUGGCUAGAAUGGAAUGUUAACACCUUUCUUACGGCGGUUCGAUUCCGUCCUUGGACA
Tritrichomonas musculus is the source of this 72-nucleotide non-coding RNA. NCBI's taxonomy places the organism in Eukaryota, Parabasalia, Tritrichomonadida, Tritrichomonadidae. The record is from the annotation of a GenBank genome assembly.